Molecule: ribosomal RNA, 305 nt
Filed under: uncultured Pseudomonadota bacterium
Lineage: Bacteria; Pseudomonadati; Pseudomonadota
Description: bacterial SSU rRNA
Rfam family: Bacterial small subunit ribosomal RNA
Source: RNAcentral
AACGAACGCUGGCGGCAGGCCUAACACAUGCAAGUCGAACGCGAAAUCACCUUCGGGUGGUGGAGAGUGGCAGACGGGUGAGUAACGCGUGGGAAUCUACCUGAUGGUACGGAAUAACUCAGGGAAACUUGAGCUAAUACCGUAUGUGCCCGAAAGGGGAAAGAUUUAUCGCCAUCAGAUGAGCCCGCGUCGGAUUAGCUAGUUGGUGGGGUAAUGGCCCACCAAGGCGACGAUCCGUAGCUGGUCUGAGAGGAUGAUCAGCCACACUGGGACUGAGACACGGCCCAGACUCCUACGGGAGGCAG